AUGUGAUUAUGUGAUAAGUGU
Molecule: microRNA, 21 nt
Filed under: Medicago truncatula (barrel medic)
Lineage: Eukaryota; Viridiplantae; Streptophyta; Magnoliopsida; Fabales; Fabaceae
Description: mtr-miR2607
Source: miRBase by way of RNAcentral